GAGAGAUGGCUGAGUGGUUGAAAGCUCCGGUCUUGAAAACCGGCAUAUUAUUUAUCGAGGGUUCGAAUCCCUCUCUCUCCU
This 81-nucleotide transfer RNA is filed under the name Scaevola taccada (beach naupaka). RNAcentral's name for it is "tRNA-Ser". It matches the Rfam family "tRNA". From Rfam's summary of the family: Transfer RNA (tRNA) molecules are approximately 80 nucleotides in length. Their secondary structure includes four short double-helical elements and three loops (D, anti-codon, and T loops). Lineage: Eukaryota; Viridiplantae; Streptophyta; Magnoliopsida; Asterales; Goodeniaceae. The record is from RNAcentral.